GAUCAUGGCUCAGGAUGAACGCUGGCGGCGUGCUUAACACAUGCAAGUCGAACGAAGCACUUAAGAUUGAUUCUUCGGAUGACGUCUUUUGUGACUUGGUGGCGGACGGGUGAGUAACGCGUGGGUAACCUGCCUCACACAGGGGGAUAACAGUUAGAAAUGACUGCUAAUACCGCAUAACCCGAUAGGAUCGCAUGAUCCAGACGGAAAAGAUUUAUCGGUGUGAGAUGGACCCGCGU
RNAcentral lists this ribosomal RNA (239 nucleotides) under uncultured bacterium. RNAcentral describes it as "partial 16S ribosomal RNA". It matches the Rfam family "Bacterial small subunit ribosomal RNA", at positions 15 to 236 of the family's 1533-position model. The record is from RNAcentral.